CAAUCAAACCGGGAGAUAGCUGGUUCUCCCCGAAAGCUAUUUAGGUAGCGCCUCGUGAAUUCAUCUCCGGGGGUAGAGCACUGUUUCGGCUAGGGGGCCAUCCCGGCUUACCAACCCGAUGCAAACUGCGAAUACCGGAGAAUGUUAUCACGGGAGACACACGGCGGGUGCUAACGUCCGUCGUGAAGAGGGAAACAACCCAGACCGCCAGCUAAGGUCCCAAAGUCAUGGUUAAGUGGGAAACGAUGUGGGAAGGCCCAGACAGCCAGGAUGUUGGCUUAGAAGCAGCCAUCAUUUAAAGAAAGCGUAAUAGCUCACUGGUCGAGUCGGCCUGCGCGGAAGAUGUAACGGGGCUAAACCAUGCACCGAAGCUGCGGCAGCGAACGUAUCACCCAAGACAACUUUACGGAGUUGACGAUUGACGGAGCGAAGCGACGUCAAAGCGUUCAUUAAAGUCGAGUUGGCUUAGGGAUACGUUCGUUGGGUAGGGGAGCGUUCUGUAAGCCUGUGAAGGUGUGUCGUGAGGCAUGCUGGAGGUAUCAGAAGUGCGAA
RNAcentral lists this ribosomal RNA (552 nucleotides) under Salmonella enterica. Its description in RNAcentral is "bacterial LSU rRNA". It matches the Rfam family "Bacterial large subunit ribosomal RNA", at positions 830 to 1294 of the family's 2925-position model. Lineage: Bacteria; Pseudomonadati; Pseudomonadota; Gammaproteobacteria; Enterobacterales; Enterobacteriaceae. The record is from RNAcentral.